This is a non-coding RNA of Phrynosoma platyrhinos (Desert horned lizard), 72 nucleotides long. Lineage: Eukaryota; Metazoa; Chordata; Lepidosauria; Squamata; Phrynosomatidae. The record is from the annotation of a GenBank genome assembly.
GAAGGAGUGGUGCAGUGGUUUGAACAUUGGACUAUGACUCUAAAGAUCAGGGUUUGAAACCCUGCUUGGCCA